GACAGAGGGUGCAAACGUUGUUCGAAUUACUGGGCGUAAAGCGCGUGUAGGCGGCUAAGUAAGUCGGGCGUGAAAUCCCACGGCUCAACCGUGGAAGUGCACUCGAAACUGCGUAGCUAGAGUCUCGGAGAGGAAGGCGGAAUGCUUGGUGUAGAGGUGAAAUUCGUAGAUAUCAAGCGGAACACCGGUGGCGAAGGCGGGUCUCUGGGCCGAUACUGACGCUGAGGAGCGAAAGCGUGGGGAGCGAACAGG
RNAcentral lists this ribosomal RNA (252 nucleotides) under uncultured bacterium. RNAcentral's name for it is "partial 16S ribosomal RNA". It matches the Rfam family "Bacterial small subunit ribosomal RNA", at positions 524 to 776 of the family's 1533-position model. The record is from RNAcentral.